This 248-nucleotide long non-coding RNA is filed under the name Chloebia gouldiae (Gouldian finch). RNAcentral's name for it is "Erythrura gouldiae (Gouldian finch) lncRNA (ENSEGOG00005018825.1)". The record is from RNAcentral. Lineage: Eukaryota; Metazoa; Chordata; Aves; Passeriformes; Passeridae.
CAGGUCUGAACGCAAGCUCGAUGGCAACUCUCUGCUCCGUCUGCCAGGGUUCCAGCUCCAACCGCUCCUCUCCAUCUUCCACCUUCUUUUUCCAAAGUAACAAAGCCAUUGGAUUUCCUCCCACCCCUUCCCUGCGCCUCCCCUCCCCCUCGCUGGCACCGGGGUUAUUUAUACAGAAUGUGGAAACAAUUUGCAGGAAAGUGAACAAUCACAGGGUGCUGCAGAACAGAAUGAAGAAAAGCAGCUGA